CUUUUGAUGGCGACCGGCGCACGGGUGAGUAACACGUAUCCAACCUGCCUCAUACUCGGGGAUAGCCUUUCGAAAGAAAGAUUAAUACCCGAUGUUAUAGUCCUACCGCAUGAUGGGAUUAUUAAAGAAUUUCGGUAUGGGAUGGGGAUGCGUUCCAUUAGUUAGUUGGCGGGGUAACAGCCCACCAAGACAACGAUGGAUAGGGGUUCUGAGAGGAAGGUCCCCCACAUUGGAACUGAGACACGGUCCAAACUCCUACGGAAGGCAGCAG
Molecule: ribosomal RNA, 271 nt
Filed under: uncultured bacterium
Lineage: Bacteria
Description: partial 16S ribosomal RNA
Rfam family: Bacterial small subunit ribosomal RNA
Source: RNAcentral